CCUACGGGGUGCAGCAGUGGGGAAUAUUGCACAAUGGGGGAAACCCUGAUGCAGCGACGCAGCGUGAGGGAGGAAGUAUUUCGGUAUGUAAAGCUCUAUCAGCAGGGGAGAAAAUGACGGUACCUAACUAAGAAGCUCCGGCUAACUACGUGCCAGCAGCCGCGGUAAUACGUAGGGGGCAAGGGUUAUCCGGAUUUACUGGGUGUAAAGGGAGCGUAGACGGUUAAUCAAGUCAGAAGUGAAAACCCAGGGCUCAACCUUGGGACUGCAUUUGAUACUGGGUAGAUAGAGUGCAGCAGAGGUAGGCGGAAUUCCUGGUGUAGCGGUGAAAUGCGUAGAUAUUAGGAGGAACACCAGUGGCGAAGGCGGCUUACUGGACUGUAACUGACGUUGAGGCUCGAAAGCGUGGGGAGCAAACAGGAUUAGAUACCCGUGUAGUC
This 440-nucleotide ribosomal RNA is filed under the name uncultured bacterium. Its description in RNAcentral is "partial 16S ribosomal RNA". It matches the Rfam family "Bacterial small subunit ribosomal RNA", at positions 338 to 795 of the family's 1533-position model. The record is from RNAcentral.